AUUGGGUACUGUGGUGGAUUCAUUUCAACGGUAUGAACAGUGAUGAUCAAUGAACCCACAUAGAGAAAGUGAAACAAACAGAAUCUGUAUGUAAAUUGGAAACUAUUCCUUUUCAUUCUUGCAGAGAAAAUCAAGAAACCAAGUGAUUAAGCUUAACUUACUCUCUCUCUCUCUCUCUCUCUCUCUCUCUCUCUCUUCUCUGACACUAAGGAUAUGAUCGCGUAUGCAAGAUGUAUAUAUACCAGUCUUUGAAAGCCAAGAUUUAUACGUGUUUUCCUACAACACUUUUUCAAGAAAUGAAGUAAAACCCUAAUCUUGAUUUAUCUGACUAGGAGAACUCAGUGGAAAAAGGGUCAAGAGCUGUGGUGGGUCGCUUCCUCUCGGUGUAGUCAUCGGUGAUGGAUGCAGAUAAAACCUUUUUUCUGCUAUUGCCUUUUCCUCCUCCGAAACUGCAGGGGACGAUGGUGAUUCAGUUCCAGGGCUACGGAUAAAGAGUGACUCUGAGGAAAGUGGAGUCACCGGACU
RNAcentral lists this unclassified non-coding RNA (525 nucleotides) under Hevea brasiliensis (rubber tree). The record is from RNAcentral. Lineage: Eukaryota; Viridiplantae; Streptophyta; Magnoliopsida; Malpighiales; Euphorbiaceae.